CAGCCGCCGCGGUAAUACGAAGGGUGCAAGCGUUACUCGGAAUUACUGGGCGUAAAGCGUGUGUAGGUGGUUGUUUAAGUCUGUCGUGAAAGCCCUGGGCUCAACCUGGGAAUUGCGAUGGAUACUGGGCGACUAGAGUGCGGUAGAGGAUAGUGGAAUUUCCGGUGUAGCAGUGAAAUGCGUAGAGAUCGGAAGGAACAUCUGUGGCGAAGGCGACUAUCUGGGCCAACACUGACACUGAGACACGAAAGCGUGGGGAGCAAACAGGAUUAGAUACCCCGGUAGUCCCUGUCUCUUAUAC
RNAcentral lists this ribosomal RNA (301 nucleotides) under uncultured bacterium. RNAcentral's name for it is "partial 16S ribosomal RNA". It matches the Rfam family "Bacterial small subunit ribosomal RNA", at positions 509 to 807 of the family's 1533-position model. The record is from RNAcentral.